CAGCCCCUCGAGUGGUGGGGAUGAUUAUUUGGCCUAAAGCGUCCGUAGCCGGCCGUGUAAGUCUCCCGUUAAGUCCAGCGUCUCAAGCGUUGGACUGCGGGAGAUACUGUACGGCUAGAGAGUGGGAGAGGUCAGCGGUAUUCUGGGGGUAGGGGCGAAAUCCUUUGAUCCCCGGAGGACCACCAGUGGCGAAGGCUGCUGACUAGAACACGUCUGACGGUCAGGGACGAAAGCUGGAGUAGCGAACCGGAUUAGAGACCCGAGUAGUCC
Molecule: ribosomal RNA, 270 nt
Filed under: uncultured archaeon
Lineage: Archaea
Description: partial 16S ribosomal RNA
Rfam family: Archaeal small subunit ribosomal RNA
Source: RNAcentral